Non-coding RNA from Prototheca wickerhamii, 131 nucleotides. NCBI's taxonomy places the organism in Eukaryota, Viridiplantae, Chlorophyta, Trebouxiophyceae, Chlorellales, Chlorellaceae. The record is from the annotation of a GenBank genome assembly.
GAGUACAUGGGCCAGUGGUCUACGCCGUGGCGUUUAGGUUGGACACCGUGAAUGCGGUGGCGCCCUUUACUAUAAAGGGAUCAUGAAACCCGCCAUCCGAGAGGGCGCAGGUUCGAAUCCUGCUGUACUCA